GCCGGAUUGGCGGAAUCGGCAGACGCGGAGCACUCAAAAUGCUUUGUUCGAAAGGACGUGUGGGUUCAAGUCCCACAUCCGGCA
RNAcentral lists this transfer RNA (84 nucleotides) under Klugiella xanthotipulae. It matches the Rfam family "tRNA". Rfam says of the family: Transfer RNA (tRNA) molecules are approximately 80 nucleotides in length. Their secondary structure includes four short double-helical elements and three loops (D, anti-codon, and T loops). Further hydrogen bonds mediate the characteristic L-shaped molecular structure. tRNAs have two regions of fundamental functional importance: the anti-codon, which is responsible for specific mRNA codon recognition, and the 3' end, to which the tRNAs corresponding amino acid is attached (by aminoacyl-tRNA synthetases). tRNAs cope with the degeneracy of the genetic code in two manners: having more than one tRNA (with a specific anti-codon) for a particular amino acid; and 'wobble' base-pairing, i.e. permitting non-standard base-pairing at the 3rd anti-codon position. The record is from Rfam by way of RNAcentral. Lineage: Bacteria; Bacillati; Actinomycetota; Actinomycetes; Micrococcales; Microbacteriaceae.